Perca fluviatilis (European perch) is the source of this 926-nucleotide long non-coding RNA. RefSeq lists it as uncharacterized. Lineage: Eukaryota; Metazoa; Chordata; Actinopteri; Perciformes; Percidae. The record is from RefSeq and is a predicted model, not a curated record. The transcript is spliced from 3 exons.
AGUUCAAAGUGAACAUGCGUCAGUGCUGGUUCUUGGCCAAGAUCUAUCGUUUCACUGGCGGGACACUGGAGUCAAGCUGUUCGGUUUAGCUAAGUCCCAAUGUGCCGAGAGAGAAAAAGGGAUGCAGUUGUUUGUCGCCUCAUUGAGUACCUUGGGGAACAUCAAGAAGAUCUCAUCCAAGAUUGCUAGGAUGAAAAUGAGGACAACAUGGACUAAACCAUGAAGGUGCUUGUGAUCCAUAAUCCUGCAGCCAAGGAGCAUACAGCAGAUGUGUUGAUUGCGAUGGAGGGAAACAAAGUGCUGAACGUGUGUGGAAACCGAACCAAGGCAUGUGUGCUGUUGAUGGGAUUGAUCUACGCUCUCAAACUUCAGUAUUCCAAGAAGCUGGAGUAUACUUAAAGUAUUUCAGAAACUCUUUUGGUGCUUGACAGAGCAAAGCUGCUCAAGAAGGUCCAGAGCCUCAAAAGUAAGCUAAUGAUGAACUGUUUGUCACCGUAUUCAGGCACAGACUGUUUCCUGGGAACUUACUGUUGGUGCUGAAGAAUGCUCACUUUACAAUGCAGUCAGACAAUUUCAUCUCCCAAAGAGCAGUCUCACAUUGAAAUUCACUACAUUCAAAUAAUGCAUAUCAUCUCAUGGAUCAAUGUUAUUCAAAAGAUACAUAUUGGUUGAGCAAGGACUGAACUCAGUGUGUUUCUGACUGGUACUAGGCUGUCAAUUCAUUUAACCAAAGGGACACGCUGUUGAGAUGUGGAAAAUGCUGUUUUUUGUUCAGGCACAGACUGACUGGUUAUCUUCAACAAUCCCAUAAGGCUUUGCAAAUAUCUGCAUAUGUUCCUCAAACAUAAAAAAAUGUAAGAUGUUCAUGUUUGGUAUAACAAACAAACUGGAAUCCACAUAUGAAGGGUUUAAGAAACUUGUUUCAG